This 73-nucleotide transfer RNA is filed under the name Heterobasidion annosum. RNAcentral describes it as "tRNA-Asp". It matches the Rfam family "tRNA". Rfam says of the family: Transfer RNA (tRNA) molecules are approximately 80 nucleotides in length. The record is from RNAcentral. RNAcentral also lists the same sequence under 4 other names. Lineage: Eukaryota; Fungi; Basidiomycota; Agaricomycetes; Russulales; Bondarzewiaceae.
GAGCCCUUAGUUUAAUAGGUAAAAUACCUAAUUGUCAUUUAGGAAGAUCCCAGUUCGAAUCUGGAAGAGCUCG